CUUGCACCCAUUUGCCACAGCAGAUGCCCCCGAUUUUUGGUCCACCAGUCUGCAGAUCGAAGCAUCCUUGGAGUAAUUCAAACAGCAGAGAUUAUAUCUGACCAAACCAAAUAUCCCAUCAACCUGAAGGCACUGUGGGGAAAUUACAUUACUGCUUUGGAAACCAGGGACACGCCAUCCAUCUUACCCCAACCAUAUGCAAGUCUCCCAGUUGGUAUGUAUAUGAGUGGGCUGAUUUGGUCUUCUCACACAUACAGGCUCUGCCAUAUAUAGUUAAUCAUAAAAAAAAACCCAGUGUGCAUGCUCACAGUAUCAGGUUUAUGCCUUUUCGUCACCUGUAUUUGUAUCCUCUGUGUGUUUACUCAGCACAUCAUGUUAGUCUCUCACCUCUGGCUAAUUCUCACACCCUGCUGAUGAAUUCCAUAGCGGUGCACGCCGGGUUGUAAAUCGCAUAAGCCAGAGAAUAAAUACAGGCAGUUUCAUGGUUUUCAUGCUCGCUCAGCAAGUUUUAUUUGAAAGCAAAAGCCAUGGUGAACACAUGCAUGAAAAAUAGAUUUGAAAACCCUCACAGAGCACGUGGUAGUCUUUUGUGCUGUUACUUGACCUGGAAUUUUAGAUUUUGUCUGCCAUCAAAGUGGGAAAAGAUGUUGUUGCUUUACCACCCAAUCACAUUUGACCUAAAAGAUAUGAUUUGAUGAAAGUUAAUUCCUCAUGGGCAUCCAGCCAGAAUGCAAAGAAAACAGCCGUCAGUGAUUUUGCAGUGGGUUAAUUUUCCUUUAAAUCAUCAACAGUAGCUUAACUUAACAAAGGAAGACUCACAUGGGCUGCUAAACUGUGAAAGAGAAAACAGGGUUGUCUUUAAGUCAUUAACUUAGAAGGGUAAAAAGUUGUUUUUUUUUAAAAAUCAGAAGAAUAAAGGAAACUCACCUUAGCUGCAGUUCUUAUAUAAUGUGCUCCAGGUGAGUUCAGUUAAGGGACAAAGAAACCCAGGAAACCAAUCAGCGAUGAGAAAACCUUGAAACAAAUUGAGGUAAAGAUGGCGAGCUGUGGGAGAGCGAGUAAAGGGUUAAUAAAAGUAAGAAUUUUUACUAUAUUAAACUUAAAAAAUUAAAAGAAAAUAAAGAAAGUUGGAGCGAUGUAAUCUACUUUUCUAUUUUAAUCUAGAAGUUUCAAAAUUUAGGAAAACAAAAGAUAAUAAUAAAAACGUUGGCCAACAUCUGUAUAGGAUUAGGGUUAUAUCGCCCACCUGUUGUUUGGAUAUGCUCUUGACAUUUUUUAUUUUUUUCUUAGUUUUCAUGGAGACAAAUUAAUGUGAACAAAAAACUAUCCCUGCUUUAUAAAAUACACGUGUAACCUAAUAGGAUUUAUCCUAAUCUUUGCCACCAAUUGGAUAUAAAACUUCAACUAUACGUCAAAAAAUUUUCUUUUGGUAAAUAAGUCUGUGGUCCAUGAAUAAAAAUGAAGUGACUGUUUGAAAAAAGUUAAUCUGCUCAUAUAGCAAAAGUCAUACAUAUCAUCUUUUUAUCAAUAAUGAUAUGCAAUAACUAACAACAUGCAGAUUUAAUGCAGACUCUCCUUUAUGAGUUUGCAAAUUUAUGAAAGGAAAAACACAAAAAGAAAGGAGUUUAUUGCAUUACAAGAACUAACCUUUAAAUGUCAGAUGAAAUAAGACCUCACUGUAACAACAGACACUACUGAUGUAAACAAAUACAGUCCAGUAAAUUUAAUCCAAGACAAGCAGGAAAAUGAUUACUUUUAAACUUUAGGGGUAACAGAAAGUAUGCACAUUUUCACAUGUGUAUCAGCUUUCCAGAAAGGACCAGAUAUUGGCAGCAAAAAAAAAAGUUAACUAACUUUCCUGUGGCUAAGCGUUGUUGCUUUUGCCAUUGUUAGCUGCUGUUAGCCUCCGCUAGCUGUUAGCUGGCAUUAGUCAAACCUUCUUUGAAGUGGACAUAACAUUAUCACUCAUACUGUAAGCAAAUAAACUGGUAUACAAUCAGAGAAUGUAAUCAAAUUUUUUACCAGAGGGAAAGUGUGAUUUAUUUAUUUUUUUCGGACAGCUAACAUUAGCUUGCCUAAUGCUAACUGUCAGCUGUCAGGAGGCCAUGUCUAAUCAACUAAAAAUAAGUAAUAACUCUUGUAUGUAUUGUUAAUUGUUUACUUACAAGUUCAUGAGAGUGUAUCAAUGUGUUGAAAAAUAUAAUUACAUACUAUUCUCUGUAUAUUUAUAAGUACCGUAUAAUUUCUUCUGUUGAAUAAUGUAAAAAAAAAAUUGACUGCAGUUUUAAAGAGUGUUCCUGUUUGAGAAAUAAAAUUAUCUGCAAUUAUGUGACUCUAAUUAACUGAUGUAAGGUUUAUUCCUGAGUCAAAAUGGUCCUUUGUGGCUUACUAUGCACUGCAUGGACUAAAGGCUUUAAGUCUUUGUUACUUAACAGAUGUCUAUGGGUGUUUAUUUUAACCUUACCUUAUUGUUAUUUGAUGAAGAAAUUUUAUUUUAGA
Long non-coding RNA from Haplochromis burtoni (Burton's mouthbrooder), 2499 nucleotides. RefSeq lists it as uncharacterized. Lineage: Eukaryota; Metazoa; Chordata; Actinopteri; Cichliformes; Cichlidae. The transcript has 3 exons. The record is from RefSeq and is a predicted model, not a curated record.